CCACGGAAGCGGAACCAAAGCUCUUCGCAAAUACCCAAGUCAACCCACAUAAUCGCCAAUUGGGCUGGGCCAAAUCGCCAAUUAUAGGAGAGAAUCGCCUAGAGGACCAUUCCAAAGCUACUAGGAAAUUUCCCCUUACUAGGAAUCGCCGAUUUCACGGCCAAAUCGGCAAUUCUAGGGGCGUUACUUGGAGCCAACCUGGACGUGUUAAUGACCCGGCCGCGAUCUCCGUUGUAGAUGACGCCCCUGGAUGCCCUAUUAAAGAAGGCCCCUAAAGCACAUCGAUCUAAAUCAUCAGUUCUACCCCUUCCAUAGUGACAAACACGGAGAAAUAGUCGAUUUGCUCGCCAAUCACUUAUAAAGGACGUCGCGCAGGAUUAAAUAGUACGUCAUGCAUCUGAUGUUUUUUCAAUUUCUCUUCUUCAAGCGGUAACUGAUCUCUUUAUCACUCUUAUAUUAAUUUCCCCUAGCCCUUCCGAUCUUUAUCCUCUAUUCUGUUCUCUUUUCAAGAAAUACCUUCUUGGAUUGCAAUGAUAGGAAACACCUUGAGUAGUAUAUGUUAAUAAUAUAAUUUUCCUGCAGGAAUUGAAGUAAUGAAAUAGAAAUUGCAAUGAUAAAAAUUAAAAAAUCACUUCAAAUUAAAAGAUUUAGGUACGUCUACUAAAAUAUUUUCUUUGUAUAGAGAUAUCAAGAUUAAAUGAAAGGAUAUUUUUAUCCAAAGAAAAUAUAUAUACUUUAGGAAUUAAUAUUUGAAGAAACUGGUCUAUGUGGAGCAAAACCCUAGCUAAUUAAGAAAUGAUAAAACAAAACAAAUAUAUGAUCCUAUAUUUUACAUAAAAAUUGUGGGAAAAUUAAUAUAUCUAAACAUAACUAGACCUGCAGAUCUAAGCUUCCCAGUCCAUUAUUUGAAAUUAGUUGAUGAACUUAAGAUAAAGGUUACUAAACCAAUAACUUUAUAUUGCGAUAAUAAAUCAACAAUAUAUCUAGCCAAUGAUCCGAUUUUUCAUAAAAGAACCAAAUAUAUAAAGAUUGAUUGUCAUUUCAUAAGAGAAAUGAUAAAUAAAGACAAAAUAUAUUUGUUUCAUGUUCGGAAUAAAAAAUCUUUAUUAAAAGGCCUGAGGGGGAGUAAAGGAGUUAAAUAUCUAAUAUUUAAAGGUAAUAAUAAUUAACUUUAAAGAUUUGCAGGUAAUUCCACAAACUCAAGGACCUGGAUACAAUAGUUUAAGAAGGUUUACUUAAUUCGGCAAUGGACCAAUUAAUUAAUCAAUCAAAUCGUUGGACCCAAAAAAGUUUGGUUCAUGAAGAAAGAAAUGAAGAAGAAUCGUUGAAGAUCGAUCAACUUAGUUAUUUGUUAAAGAAGUAAUAGUUAUAAGAUAAUUAGUUGUGACAAUCGAAAUACUUUUAAGAUAUGUGGGUACCAAGGUCCGUCCAGACGGAAGCCGAACAUGACCGUUGGACCCAGAAGGCCCAGAGAAAUGUACUAUAAUAC
RNAcentral lists this long non-coding RNA (1489 nucleotides) under Zostera marina. Its description in RNAcentral is "long non-coding RNA (ZMAR_LNC002737)". Lineage: Eukaryota; Viridiplantae; Streptophyta; Magnoliopsida; Alismatales; Zosteraceae. The record is from RNAcentral.